RNAcentral lists this long non-coding RNA (1787 nucleotides) under Mustela putorius furo (domestic ferret). RNAcentral's name for it is "lncRNA (ENSMPUG00000023874.1)". Lineage: Eukaryota; Metazoa; Chordata; Mammalia; Carnivora; Mustelidae. The record is from RNAcentral.
AAAUUAUUGGUAGAGGAUGUUCCGAAAGUCACAAUAAUAUCCACUGAAAAUAUUCUAAGCAAUUCAGAAAGAAAAUAUUCUAAGCAAUUCAGAAAGAAUCAUUUAGUUUCCAAUUGAACUAGAGCAGGCAUAAAAAGGAAUAUAGUUCAUACAUAAUUUUUUAAUGUAUUGGGAAUAGGUAAUAUUGACACAACACAAUUAUAAAGACCAACAGUUGUUUGUAAGUCAUAGACAAAGGCAACAUUGGGAUUACAGGGAAGAAUUAAGGUGUCCUGACUAAAGCAAAGGUACUCUGAGUUAAGUCAUAAACUUUCAUUUCCCAUGCUACCCAAUUCGUGGGCUCUGCACACCAAAUACUUUGAAGACUGUCGGAAAAUAAGCAAAUCCUACAGACUGUUUAUGAGGUGGUCCUUACUUGAAUCCAACUCGAAGUACACUGUAUUGCGUGUGAGAGUACACCAUUGCAUUCCCGCAUAGGCUAUGUUUCCCUUGGGAACAAUGGGUCCUGGUUGCUGUGGGUCUGGUGCAACAUGGCAGUCCGCAUCUCACACCACAUCAUCUGGGAAAGAAAAGAACAGUGAACAGUUCUAAUUUUUCUUCUCUUUGAAAGGCUUGUGUUUGAUUUGAACCAUAUUUGGAGAUGAAGAUAAUGAACACAAGUUGAUGUGAAAAGAUAUUUCCCUUUUAUAAAAUGUUCGUGUUCAUGGGGUAAGUUGUAGAUCAAAAUAUGCAGGUGAAUUAAUUUGUUAUUUAUGAUUGGGCAUAAUUUUAGUUCUUUGGGAAUAUUGAUUUUUUAAAUUUGCAACCACUUAAACAUGUAUUUGUGUCACCAAUCAUAUGCAUAAUUUAAAACACUGAGGAAAUAAUCAAGCUUCUCUGAUGGAAUGGUCUUGUUUUAAUACUGCCUUGUCCUACUGAAAAUGAAUAGAAGAUAGUCUCUUUAUUGUUUUAAAUAAUUAAAAGCCUACUAAUAAAAUUUCAGUCUCUUUAAACAGUCAAAGGCAUUGUAUUUUCAAGAUCACUUGCUACCAAAUCUUUAUUUUCUUGAAUGGAAUCCAUUUUUUAAAAAAAAAUUAAAAGAACAAACACUUCAAAUGAAAUGUGAAUUUUCAUAAAGCAAAAUCUAGGUUUCCACUCUAUAGACAGAUAUAUUAAAUGCAAUUAACUAUUUUGCCAGACAACCUUACUGAUUAUUUUAUAGAACGCUGUGAAAUAGAUUAUUUUGUACUUGGAAAAAAUCAAUGUUAUGUCAUGGGGAUGAAAAUUUGAUGAUAUUUUCAAUAGGCUCUGAAUUAGUUGAGGUUGAAGUAUAAGUUGAGGAUAAGAAGAUUUUUGGCAAGUGCACAGCCAGGGUGCAAAUGAUUAUGUUAGCAUAUUCAUCAUGGCCACAUCUCAUCAACCACGGAGUUCUGAUGGUUUUUUGUUUUCUUAUUUCAAUUUUGAAAUACUUCGAUUGAUGCACUUGCUUUGAGAUGCCAAGGUCUUCAGGAAAAGUAGGGUUCUUCCUUCCUCUGUUUCAGAAAAAUGGGUAACAAUCCAAGUUGCCUUUUAAAAAAACCUUCAGAGCCACAUACAAUGACUUAUGUCUACAUGGUGCAAUUCCUAGAAAAGGUCCAUCUCUAGUUUGAGAGACCUAUUCUUUUUCUUAAACAGAAAGAUCUCAGUGUGAGAACACCUUCUUCUAUGAUGAGUGGUGCACCCAAGAAGGGUGAGAAAUGGAAUUGGGAACAUUUUGCUCUCUUCAUAAAGAACCUUUUCUAGCCCAAGUUGUAAAAAAUAUUUUUGCU